Molecule: ribosomal RNA, 471 nt
Filed under: uncultured bacterium
Lineage: Bacteria
Description: bacterial SSU rRNA
Rfam family: Bacterial small subunit ribosomal RNA
Source: RNAcentral
GAUGAACGCUGGCGGCGUGCCUAAUACAUGCAAGUCGAACGAAGAUGCCUCAUGAGCAAUCGUUUGGUAAUCUUAGUGGCGAACGGGUGAGUAACGCGUUGGUGACCUGCCCCGAAGUGGGGGAUAACAGCUCGAAAGGGCUGCUAAUACCCCAUGAGUUCCUCCAGGUUAGACACUGGAUGAAGAAAGACUUCGGUCGCUUUGGGAGGGCCUGCGUCCCAUCAGCUAGUUGGUAGGGUAAAAGCCUACCAAGGCAAAGACGGGUAGGGGACCUGAGAGGGUGACCCCCCACAAUGGAACUGAAACACGGUCCAUACACCUACGGGUGGCAGCAGUAGGGAAUAUUGCACAAUGGGCGAAAGCCUGAUGCAGCAACGUCGCGUGCGCGAUGAAGGCCUUCGGGUUGUAAAGCGCUUUUCGGGGAGAAGAGGAAGGACGGUAUCCCCGGAAUAAGGUUCGGCUAACUACGUG